RNAcentral lists this ribosomal RNA (253 nucleotides) under uncultured bacterium. RNAcentral describes it as "partial 16S ribosomal RNA". It matches the Rfam family "Bacterial small subunit ribosomal RNA", at positions 524 to 776 of the family's 1533-position model. The record is from RNAcentral.
UACGGAGGGUGCAAGCAUUAAUCGGAUUUAUUGGGCGUAAAGGGCGCGUAGGCGGGUGAGAAAGUCAGAUGUGAAAUUCCGAAACUCCAUUUCGGAGCUGCAUUUGAAACUGUUCACCUCGAGGGAUGGCGGAGAAAAUGGAAUUCCACGUGUAGCGGUGAAAUGCGUAGAUAUGUGGAAGAACACCUGUGGCGAAAGCGGUUUUCUAGCUUUUACCUGACGCUGAGGCGCGAGAGCAAGGGGAGCAAACAGG